RNAcentral lists this long non-coding RNA (1653 nucleotides) under Anser cygnoides (Swan goose). RNAcentral's name for it is "lncRNA (ENSACDG00005016407.1)". The record is from RNAcentral. Lineage: Eukaryota; Metazoa; Chordata; Aves; Anseriformes; Anatidae.
CAUCCCCACCCCAUAACCCUAUUAGGACUGCGGGUGCUGCCCCAUAACACCUCUCCCUUCUCUCCCCCCGCAGCGCCCAGCCGUGGGGGCACCCGCCAGCACCCCCCCUGCACCCGCCCCGUCCUACAACGGCUCCGAAAUCCAGUGGACCCCGUAAGUAGGGCCGGGAGGGGCCCGGUGUCCCCGCGCAGGGCGAGCAGCCCCUCACCGUGGCGUCCCGCAGGUACCGGGCGCUCUACCAGUACCGGCCCCAAAACGCCGACGAGCUGGAGCUGCAGGAAGGGGACCGCGUGGACGUCAUGCAGCAGUGCGACGACGGCUGGUUCGUGGGCGUCUCCAGGAGGACGCAGAAAUUCGGCACUUUCCCCGGCAAUUACGUGGCGCCCGUGUGAGCCGCGGCGCGGAGCGGAGGAGCCACGGCCCCACGGGGACGCGAAGCGCCUCCAGCUCCUGCUGCCCCUAUGGGGUGCCUCUAACAGGGACCAAUCCUCCGCCCGGUGCCUUAACCCGACGCCCUCCUCGCCUCUGCCCGGUGCCUUAUCGCCCACCGCCCCGGUGGCCGUGCCUCUCCUUCCCUCUCCGGAUGGUGCUGGGGGGGGUCCCCGGUGGGUCCCCGGCCCGGCCGUGACGGCUGCGACUCGAGACGCCGGCCCGGGGCCGUGCCACGCGUGCCUUUGCUUCUUGUCCGUCAUUAAAGCUCAGCUCAGCCCGAGCCGAGGCCCUGCCUGGUGGCGCCGGGACGGGAGGGAGAUGGUGGGGUGGUGCCCGUGGGGACGUGUGGGGCAGGGACCCGUGGGGCUGGCUGUGGGGCUGCGUGGCGGCGAGUGGUCGUGUGUGGUUAGGGGUGACGCUGCGUGGGGCUCCAGUGGGGUAUGUGGGGCUGCAACGGUGCUCGUGGGGCUGCCGUGGUGUUUGUGGGGGAUUUUGAUGGUGCUUACGGGACUUGCGGCAGUGCACGGGGCAUGCCGUGGUGCCUGUGGGGUUGCAGUGCUGCUUGUGGGGCUGCAACAGUGCUCGUGGGGCUGCAGUGGUGCUCGUGGGGCUGCAGUGGUGUUUGUGGGGUUGCAGUGGUGUUUGUGGGGGAUUUUAAUGGUAUUUGUGGGACUUGCAGCAGUGCACGGGGCGUGCCGUGGUGCUUGUGGGGUUGCAAUGGUGCAUGUGGGGGGAUUUUAAUGUUCUUGUGGGACUUGCGGCAGUGUGAUAGAGGCCUUGCAAAGAUGCAUGGGGGGGCUGCAAUGGUGCAGGGGGGGGUUGCAAUGGUGCAAAGGGGUUGUAAAGGUGCAGGGGGGUUGCAGUGGUGCAUGGGCGGGUUGCAACGGUGCAGAGGGGUGCUGCAAUUGUGGGGGGGUUGCAACGGUGCAGGGGGGUCGCAGCGGUGCAUGGGGGGGUUUAUAAAGGUGCAUGAGGGGUUUGCAAUGGUGCAUGGGGGGCUGUAAAGGUGCGUGGGGGGGCUGUAAAGGUGCAUGGGGGGGUUGCAGUGGUGCAAAGGGGCUGUACAGGGGGGGCUGCAGUGCUUCUCGGGGCUCUGCCCCAGCACAUCCCUGAUGCCGCGGGGGGUGUGAGAGUCCCACGGGGCAGCGCCCUGUUGGUCCGCAGUGCCUCCCCCCCCCCAAAAAAAAGGGGCAGGGUCCUCGGGCACCUCCUGCCCCCCCC